UGGAGAGUUUGAUCCUGGCUCAGGACGAACGCUGGCGGCGUGCUUAACACAUGCAAGUCGAACGAUGAACCACUUCGGUGGGGAUUAGUGGCGAACGGGUGAGUAACACGUGGGCAAUCUGCCCUGCACUCUGGGACAAGCCCUGGAAACGGGGUCUAAUACCGGAUACUGAUCCUCGCAGGCAUCUGCGAGGUUCGAAAGCUCCGGCGGUGCAGGAUGAGCCCGCGGCCUAUCAGCUUGUUGGUGAGGUAACGGCUCACCAAGGCGACGACGGGUAGCCGGCCUGAGAGGGCGACCGGCCACACUGGGACUGAGACACGGCCCAGACUCCUACGGGAGGCAGCAGUGGGGAAUAUUGCACAAUGGGCGAAAGCCUGAUGCAGCGACGCCGCGUGAGGGAUGACGGCCUUCGGGUUGUAAACCUCUUUCAGCAGGGAAGAAGCGAAAGUGACGGUACCUGCAGAAGAAGCGCCGGCUAACUACGUGCCAGCAGCCGCGGUA
This 501-nucleotide ribosomal RNA is filed under the name Streptomyces lienomycini. Its description in RNAcentral is "bacterial SSU rRNA". It matches the Rfam family "Bacterial small subunit ribosomal RNA", at positions 1 to 522 of the family's 1533-position model. Lineage: Bacteria; Bacillati; Actinomycetota; Actinomycetes; Kitasatosporales; Streptomycetaceae. The record is from RNAcentral.